CCCAGCCACAGAUCCCUGCGUGGAGGGACAGGCUGUGCCACCUUCCUGCUGCUCCAGGACUGACCUGGGACAGGCUGAAAUCCUGAAAAUGGGCUUUAGGCCAGGGCUCUGUUUUUAAAGAUGAAAUUACAAUAGGAAGGAUGGUCUCACCUGAGCAGGUAAAUUAACUUUUCUUCACCUCCGCUUCCCGAGAAAUCAGCUUUGCCUGGGGUUUGCAGGAGCUCAGCGUGGUGAAGGGGAAUCAACCCUUCUCUGUCCUUCCUGCACUGUGCUCAGAGCCACCACUAGAAAGAGUGAGUGACCAAUGCAGAGGCCAUUUGGGGUUUUUUCUGGGAUGAUGUGGCUUCAGUGGCCUUCAGCACGUCCACUGCAUUUCCAAGGCACAGCAUGAAUCACAGUGAUUUGCUCAGGCAGGAACUGCAGCCAUAAAAUGGCAUGGCCUCUCUGGGUACAGCUCCACUGGGCUGAUGAAAUUAUCCUGGACUUCCACCAAACCUAAAAGGAGAAGAACAACCUGUGUGCUCUCCAGGUGAAACCAGAUCCAUCUGGACAUCUUGGCAAGGGAAAAAAUGCAGCAUUAGCAAAAGAGAUUUUUGAAGAAGAUGUUCCAACCUAAAUUCAACCCACAAGAGACAUUCAGGCACUUGGAAAUGCUAUGGAUUUGUAAUGUCCUCGCAGAACCUGUUGUUAACCAUUGAACUGGCAGGUAAACUGAGGCAGAGAAUGGCUAGGUAAUGCAACUGUGUGACAAAACCUGUCAGAAGAUGAAGUGCAUCCUCCUCUCUUUGCUCCAAUCCUCAAAGAAACAUCAGCCAGCCAUAAUGAAACCCUGAGAUGAAGUGACCUCUCUGAUGACAGGCGAUUUUGGUUGAACUGCUUCCUCCCCAGCCUGCAGCCACGAAGGCAACGAGAGGAUUCUUCGCUAUUGUGCCCACAAAUGGAGGGGACAAAAAAAAAGGAAGAAAGAAAAAAGAAAGAAGAAGAAAGAAAAUACCUUAAUUAAAACACGAUCUGGAUUGUUUGCUGAAGCGUUUCUGGCCGCAUUCUUUAAUGCACUUGAAAUUACCCAUUUGCAUCAAUAGGCGUUAG
This 1089-nucleotide long non-coding RNA is filed under the name Serinus canaria (Common canary). RNAcentral's name for it is "lncRNA (ENSSCAG00000015075.1)". The record is from RNAcentral. Lineage: Eukaryota; Metazoa; Chordata; Aves; Passeriformes; Fringillidae.